RNAcentral lists this ribosomal RNA (245 nucleotides) under uncultured archaeon. Its description in RNAcentral is "partial 16S ribosomal RNA". It matches the Rfam family "Archaeal small subunit ribosomal RNA", at positions 474 to 718 of the family's 1478-position model. The record is from RNAcentral.
CACCGGCGGACCAAGUGGUCUCCGCAAUUACUGGGUUUAAAGAGUCCGUAGCUGGCCCAUCGCAUCCUGGGUGAAAUACCAGAGCUCAACUCUGGUGCUUGCCUGGGACACGGGUGGGCUUGGAACUGGGAGAGGGAAAGGGAAUUCCAUGGGUAGGGGCUAAAUCCUAUAAUCCAUGGAGGACCACCGGUAGCGAAGGCGCUUUCCUGGAACAGGUUCGACGGUGAGGGACGAAACCUAGGGGA